UAUUAAAAAUAUCAUCAAUUUGUACUAUUAAAAACUGGUGUGGUUAACAAAAUAAUUAAAUAGUGACACACAUGUAUACAUCAUGCUGAUGUACAUGAAUCGAUUUUAAACAGUAAAAAUUGAUGAAAAUUUUAACA
This is a non-coding RNA of Gossypium arboreum, 137 nucleotides long. The record is from Rfam. NCBI's taxonomy places the organism in Eukaryota, Viridiplantae, Streptophyta, Magnoliopsida, Malvales, Malvaceae.